AUGCAUCUCUGACAGGCUUUGAGCAGUUAAUGUCUGCUGCUAAGGUUUCUACUACAGAUGCAAGAAAAAGAAGGUCCUCGUGCUUUCUGCCGUCUGGUUGUGGCAGCCAAGAUUGAAUGGGGGAAUACAGGA
RNAcentral lists this small nucleolar RNA (132 nucleotides) under Dasypus novemcinctus (nine-banded armadillo). RNAcentral describes it as "Small nucleolar RNA SNORA31 (ENSDNOG00000042414.1)". It matches the Rfam family "Small nucleolar RNA SNORA31". From Rfam's summary of the family: ACA31 (SNORA31) belongs to the H/ACA class of snoRNAs which are thought to guide the sites of modification of uridines to pseudouridines. ACA31 is predicted to guide the pseudouridylation of U3713 in 28S rRNA and U218 in 18S rRNA. The record is from RNAcentral. Lineage: Eukaryota; Metazoa; Chordata; Mammalia; Cingulata; Dasypodidae.